Molecule: non-coding RNA, 65 nt
Organism: Ciona intestinalis (vase tunicate)
Lineage: Eukaryota; Metazoa; Chordata; Ascidiacea; Phlebobranchia; Cionidae
Source: the annotation of a RefSeq genome assembly
UUAACUAUAGCAUAAAAAAAUGUUUUAUUUUUACAUGAUAAAGAUAUCUAUAUUGAUUAGUUAAU